AAACCAAAAAAAAAAAAAAAAACGCCCCACACAACACGCAGAAAAUGUGGGUAUACAUACAUGAAUAUUAACCCCAAGUCACACAUUUUUUUUCUAUAUAUAUGAAACUCUCCUUUCCCGAUCAAGUUGCAAAUAGGAACGAGUUGAGAACAGUCCUGCAAAGCCUCUAGACAAGCAACCUUCAACUGCACAGACAGAUUUGGACGACCCCAUUGGACUAUUCUGAUUAAUGAUUUCCAUGCAGUCACCGGCUGAAUUACCUGGUGGAUUAUCCUCCCAGUUCAACAGUCUUUGAGAUAUCAACCUGCUUCUCUUAGAAUUUGACAUAAGAUUCAGGUUAGUAUAAUCUGAGACAAGAGAAUCUGAAGACUCCAUUUCUUCAUUUUGAAGGCUAGGCAACUUCCUCUUCAGACCUGGAGUGACUUUCAAUCCGGAAAGAGCGUCUUCAAAUACAAAUAACUGAGACUCUGAAUCACCGCAGUUGCAGAAAAGGUUGGGAUCUUUAUUGGAUCCUGAUACCCUGUACAUGUGCUCAACAAAGUCGUCUAUUAAGACAGGCCAAGCUCCUUCAGGAUCAUACCCUUCAAGAUUUUCAUGUACACAUCGGCUAAAAGCUAAAACUUGCUGCCAUGUAUCCUCAGAAAUAUUGUGUCUCUGAUUUUCCUCAACAAAGUCACACCAUUGGUUCAGCAAUCGAAACCUCCCAGCCAAAACUAGUCUCCAUGCAGUAACUGCCUUGCUUACAGUGAUAUUCUUUUGACCAUUUUCACGGCACAUGAAGAACAUAAAAUCAUAGAAGCGUGAGAACUCAGAGAAAUCCACCAUAAAUUCUAGCUUUGACAUGAGCUUUGCAAGUUCAUCAACAAUCGAACUACUUGCAUGCACUCUCAAUUCUACAAAUUUUAAAAGCUGAGCCAACGCAUCCCUUGAGGAUUUGCCCUGCUGUGUAUCAUUGUCCUGCUCAUUUCUUUCUCCCUCAUAUGCUUUUCCUGAUCUAAUGACGCAGUAACGCUGGUAAAUCUCGAAGAUGUCAACCCGAUUCGAAUCCGGCAAAUCCAUUGGGAGCUGAAGGCAGAGCCAAAGCAGAGCUGAUGGGUAUGAACAAAACCCUAGAAGUAGAAGCUCAAAAACUCAAAAGAAAAGCCAUGAACAGGGAUAGAAGGGUCUCUCUUUAUCUGGGCGUCUGCUUGUCUGCCUCUGUGUGUU
RNAcentral lists this unclassified non-coding RNA (1206 nucleotides) under Hevea brasiliensis (rubber tree). The record is from RNAcentral. Lineage: Eukaryota; Viridiplantae; Streptophyta; Magnoliopsida; Malpighiales; Euphorbiaceae.